Molecule: ribosomal RNA, 460 nt
Filed under: uncultured bacterium
Lineage: Bacteria
Description: partial 16S ribosomal RNA
Rfam family: Bacterial small subunit ribosomal RNA
Source: RNAcentral
CCUACGGGUGGCAGCAGUGAGGAAUAUUGGUCAAUGGGCGCGAGCCUGAACCAGCCAAGUAGCGUGAAGGAUGACUGCCCUACGGGUUGUAAACUUCUUUUAUAAAGAAAUAAAGUGAGGCACGAGUACCUUUUUGUAUGUACUUUAUGAUUAAGGAUCGGCUAACUCCGUGCCAGCAGCCGCGGUAAUACGGAGGAUCCGAGCGUUACGCGGAUUUAUUGGGUUGAAAGGGAGCGUAGAUGGGUUGUUAAGUCAGUUGUGAAAGUUUGCGGCUCAACCGUAAAAAUGCAAUUGAUACUGGCAGCCUUGAGUACAGUUGAGGUAGGCGGAAUUCGUGGUGUAGCGGUGAAAUGCUUAGAUAUCACGAAGAACUCCGAUUGCGAAGGCAGCUUACUAAACUGCCACUGACAUUGAUGCUCGAAAGUGUGGGUAUCAAACAGGAUUAGAUACCCCUGUAGUC